CUCAACCGGUCAUAAUCCGUUUCAAACAACAUUUAGAUUUUAAAAUGCCAUGUAAAAAUAAUAAACAAAGCACCAAAACGUUAUUACAAAACAACUACUAUAAGAUUCAGGCUGUUAAAUAUCCAAAAUAAUUACUAUUUAUUGUAUAACGACGAUCGCACAUCGUCUCAUGGGCGCAGCCAUCCUGGUUGUUUGUUUACAUGUCUGCUGCCCUCAAUCAGGUAUUAAAAGACAAGCCAUAAUUGAACACUGUGAGAGACAUUAGUCUACUCAUUUCUUCCAUGGUCUACUCGACGACGAAGUGUCGAUAGCCUUAACAAAACUUAAACUAAGAUAACAUCAAGUGACAAGAAUCAUCUAAAGUACCAUAUCUCCAUAGCAACGCUACUUAACCUUCAAAAUUACCAUAGUUUCUGCAUAGCGUUUCUACUACAGUGUCAGUUGCUUCGAUCUGUUUCAACAUGUAAGACUUCUUCAUUUUAAGAGCCUCAUUUGGGCCUGAGAUUAUACACUACUAUAGUAAUCUCUGAUUUGGGCUACAGUUAUCACUAAUCAAGAACUAGAAAUGGUUGUCGAUGAAAUUAAGAAGUCUCACCCUAAUGCAGGCGAGGUGUAUCUCAUGGAUCAUCUCAGAUCAAGAGGUAUCAGAAUUCAACGCGCAUGCCUUCGGAAAGCAUUACAAGCUGUCGACCCAACCGGGGAACAGAGAAGAACAACGAGAACUAUAACCAGACGAAUUUAUUGUUCCAUGCCCGAACUACCUCUGGCAUUUUAACUGUCCACAUGACGAUCCGUUGUUGAGAAACAUAGGUGUUUUUCUCUUUUAUAGAUCUGGUCCCAACUUUGAAUAUAAUAUGCCAUUCAAUUUUAAUUGAUUUGAUCAGCCUGCGCUUGCAUGUGGCUAGAGACAACUACACAGAGAUAAUAUAUCUAUAAUAUGAGGGGUAUAUACCCACUUAUAUGGAUGCAGGGUGACCUCGAAAAUCACAAAAAAAUGUGCAUCUUUAAACAAAGCGGCUACUUUGAGUGCAGAUAACUUCAAAAGGGAAGGGAUAACUGUUAAUCUAAGGCCAUAUUUGUGAAAUAUGGCGAAAAAUAAGUCAGAAUACCAAGUUUUACCUUGAAAGCUAUUACCAAUCCUGAGUUAUAAGUUUCCAAAUUUGAAGUAAAUUGCGUUUGCACAUCUUGAAGAACCACGCCCCUUUUUUGAGGAGUCAAUAUCACGGAAACUACAUAUCCUAUUAGGCUAUUUUUUUAAAAUUUUUUUUUUUGGU
This is a long non-coding RNA of Anneissia japonica, 1274 nucleotides long. RefSeq lists it as uncharacterized. The record is from RefSeq and is a predicted model, not a curated record. Lineage: Eukaryota; Metazoa; Echinodermata; Crinoidea; Comatulida; Comatulidae. The transcript has 3 exons.